Molecule: long non-coding RNA, 235 nt
Filed under: Citrus sinensis (sweet orange)
Lineage: Eukaryota; Viridiplantae; Streptophyta; Magnoliopsida; Sapindales; Rutaceae
Description: long non-coding RNA (CSIN_LNC002009)
Source: RNAcentral
CUGUUCAAAUCUAAAAGAACUGACUGGAAUAAGGAAUAAUUAUAUAUAGAACAUCCACCCAAACUUGUAACUAUAUAUAACAUCCACCCGAACUUGUAGCUAUAUAUAUAUAGAACAUAAACAAAGCAAAAUAUACUACUCACAAGCCAACUUUGUGCCAAAGCUUGUAAGGCAUAUAGCGAAGGCCUGGAAUGCUGACAAGGGCUGCCUAUAAUCCAUUGUGAAAAUAUCAUCC